GAAUCUUGCGCAAUGGGCGAAAGCCUGACGCAGCAACGCCGCGUGAGCGAAGACGGCCUUCGGGUUGUAAAGCUCUGUCAGGAGGGACGAAGCCACUCGGGUGAACAGCCCAGAGGGUGACGGUACCUCCACAGGAAGCCCCGGCUAACUACGUGCCAGCAGCCGCGGUAAUACGUAGGGGGCGAGCGUUGUCCGGAAUCAUUGGGCGUAAAGCGCGUGUAGGCGGCCGACCAAGUCCGGUGUGAAAGCUCAGGGCUCAACCCUGAGUCUGCACUGGAAACUGGCCGGCUUGAGUCCGGAAGAGGAGACUGGAAUUCCUGGUGUAGCGGUGAAAUGCGCAGAUAUCAGGAAGAACACCGGUGGCGAAGGCGGGUCUCUGGGACGGUACUGACGCUGAGACGCGAAAGCGUGGGGAGCAAAC
RNAcentral lists this ribosomal RNA (421 nucleotides) under uncultured bacterium. RNAcentral describes it as "bacterial SSU rRNA". It matches the Rfam family "Bacterial small subunit ribosomal RNA", at positions 359 to 773 of the family's 1533-position model. The record is from RNAcentral.